Molecule: non-coding RNA, 84 nt
Organism: Stemphylium lycopersici
Lineage: Eukaryota; Fungi; Ascomycota; Dothideomycetes; Pleosporales; Pleosporaceae
Source: the annotation of a GenBank genome assembly
GGACCGGCACAGCGUGUCGACGAUUCUAUUUUUUGCCCUUUAUUCUUUCUAUUUUACUCACGCGAUACCACUACACCUUAGCCU